Molecule: unclassified non-coding RNA, 256 nt
Filed under: uncultured fungus
Lineage: Eukaryota; Fungi
Description: partial contains small subunit ribosomal RNA, internal transcribed spacer 1, and 5.8S ribosomal RNA
Rfam family: Eukaryotic small subunit ribosomal RNA (bases 1-73)
Source: RNAcentral
GCAAACUUGGUCAUUUAGAGGAAGUAAAAGUCGUAACAAGGUCUCCGUAGGUGAACCUGCGGAGGGAUCAUUACAGAGUUCUCGCCCUCGCGGGUAGAUCUCCCACCCACUGCUAUCGCUACUAUCGUUGCUUCGGCGGGCCCGCGCCCGCCGGAGGCCCUCCAAACUCUGAAUGUUAGUGUCGUCCGAGUACUAUGUAAUAGUUAAAACUUUCAACAACGGAUCUCUUGGUUCUGGCAUCGAUGAAGAACGCAGC